CUGUCUCCAUGGUGCCAAUUCUCUCAUGAAUUCCUGACACCUUGACCUCAUGACCCUCACAAUCCACUUACAUCAGGUAGGCCUCUGUGUGCCUACCUGCUCGCUCUUCUGUAUUCCUUGUUAGAGGACCUGACUCACUUUGGGAUAUCUGCUCUUGGAAUCCAACUCCAAGAACCAAGGAUUUCAAGAGUUGGGCCUCCUACUCUUGCUUCCACUCCGCCAAUGGCCCUCUGCUGCCCCCACCUGCCACAAGUCCACACUAACCAAAGAAGUCCUCAAGACUUGCCCCACAGGGCUCAGGAACUAGUUUCUCUUAUGUACCUGGCAUUGUCUUAGGCACUGUCACUUUAGCCAUUUGGUUUAGUCAUUUAAGUCCUGGGCCAUACAACCCAAUUCUUUGUGAGUGUGGGCACCUCUUCUGUACGUGGAAGCUCAUAUCCUAUUUUCCUUACCUACACGCUCUCAGAACUUCCUGAAUACUUGUAUCUCACCACCUGACCUCCAGUGUGUGCCUCCUCACACCAGCACAGUGGAGCAUGCCAAAGGCCAGUUGACUAUUAAACAAAUAUCAUCGAGCUUAGGAGAAGGAAGCAGAAAUGGAUUGCAAAUCAGGUGCAAAGUGAUGCAUUCUGCAAGUCGGCUAGAAUAAUUUCAGACCCCGGACCUCCUGCUGAAGUGAAAAAUGACAUUUAUAGGAGGGAAGCUUAGAAUUAAUCCUCCAAAAUGAUAGUAAAGUGAAUUCUUUCCUGACUCUGCUAUGAUUGCUCUUCCUCCCAUUUCUGUCUCUCCUUAUUAUUGUAAUGAGGUCUGCUCUCCAAAGUGGAUAAAGUCACCAUUCAGAUAAGAUCAGUUUUGUCUGGUGCAGCGACGUUGAUCUGAUCACAGUUUGGACUGCGGCUUUUGAAUUCACCUUGGACAUUUAACUUCUGAGGGGAAAGGGAAAUAAAAAUGACGAUCUGGCACAAAAGUACCUGCAAUCAUUAGUCAGCUAUCUUCAGGCCCGCUCUCUUUAUCCCUACCGCAGGAUAGCAGCUUCUUUGGAUAUUUCUUGGACUUUGGGGCGCUUUUUAUCCCAAUCACCUUUUGCCCUGUUCCAAUAUUUGAAUUGCAGCGGAGGUAGUUUCACUAGAGAGCAUCGGUCUGCAAUUCCCAGUGGAGUUCUCACUGAUUGUGGAAGAUGUUGAGUCCCGCACACCUGCUGAGCAGCGUGGGAGCUCUCCGUGGUGCUGAGAAAGCUGAGGUGUCUCCGCUCAGAGGGCAGCUGUUGGGAGCUCUCCGUGGUGCUGGAAGCAAUACUCUUCUAUAGAGAAUUUGAGGGGAAAUUGUCCACAAACAGCUCUAAGGAUCAUUAUCGCUCUACAGAAGGGCUGCGAUGAAAACAGGGGGGCAAGCUGUGGAGGACUUGCUGGAUGAAUGUCCACCCUAAAAACUAAUGACCACUUUCACAUUUGCUCUUAUUCUGUAAUGUCAAUUGAUUUAGAAUGCUUCAUUUAUUUACUUUUCUUCCUGGUGGUGAGGGGGAAAGGUAGAUGCUCGUACUAAUUACAGGAAGUAUGUUAUUGUCCAUCUGAAGCACAAACAGAAUAAAAGAGCCGCAAUUCAUUUAUUUCACAAACAUUUGUUGGGCACUUUUAAUAUGCUAGGCAAUGUGCUAGGUGCUGAGCCUUGGGCAAACUUAUAGCUCACGCAGGAAUCAGGUGAGCUGUGACUCCAGGAUAGCUGCUUUUUGCUCUAACAAAUGCUGAUGUCUGGUGACUGACAACUCUGGACUUCAGAUAGUAGUUGUAGCCAAGAAGAGACCUGAGAAGUCGUUCUGGGAAUGCAGGGGCGCCCUUCGUGACUUCUAUAAAUCGAAUGUGAAUAUUACAGUACAGAAGCAUUGUGUGGCUUGAGGGGGUUCUAAAGAAGCAGAGGCCUCCACAAUUCUACAUGAACUGAAUCUCCAUCUCUGUUUUUUAAAAAAAUUAUCUUCAAGCUUAGGCUUAAAUCAGCUUCCUGCUGGAUCUGGCUCCCCCAAUUUGCACAGGGGUCUCUGCACUGAUUGCCCUGAGGAGUAGGCUGGGAGAAUGCCUGAUGCUGAUGUGUUCAUGAAAUGAUGCGCCUGGCAAUAUGAUGGUGAUAUUUAUACAGCACAUAUUAUAUUCUGUGAUUUGUUCUGAGUGCUUUACACAUAUUAUUUAAUUAUCACAACGACCUUUUGAG
Molecule: long non-coding RNA, 2202 nt
Organism: Equus caballus (horse)
Lineage: Eukaryota; Metazoa; Chordata; Mammalia; Perissodactyla; Equidae
Source: Ensembl